RNAcentral lists this ribosomal RNA (248 nucleotides) under uncultured euryarchaeote. RNAcentral describes it as "partial 16S ribosomal RNA". It matches the Rfam family "Archaeal small subunit ribosomal RNA", at positions 478 to 725 of the family's 1478-position model. Lineage: Archaea; Methanobacteriati; Methanobacteriota. The record is from RNAcentral.
GGCGGCUCGAGUGGUGGCCACUAUUACUGGGCUUAAAGCGUUCGUAGCUGGUCUGUUAAGUCUCUGGGGAAAUCUACUGGCUUAACCAAUAGGCGUCUCAGGGAUACUGGCAGACUAGGGACCGGGAGAGGUGAGAGGUACUCCAGGGGUAGGAGUGAAAUCCUGUAAUCCUUGGGGGACCACCUGUGGCGAAGGCGUCUCACCAGAACGGCUCCGACAGUGAGGGACGAAAGCUGGGGGAGCAAACC